RNAcentral lists this ribosomal RNA (383 nucleotides) under uncultured bacterium. RNAcentral describes it as "bacterial SSU rRNA". It matches the Rfam family "Bacterial small subunit ribosomal RNA", at positions 97 to 477 of the family's 1533-position model. The record is from RNAcentral.
GGCGAACGGGUGAGUAACAUAUCGGAACGUAUCCAAUAAUGGGGGAUAAGUAAUCGAAAGGUGGGCUAAUACCGCAUACGCCCUGCGGGGGAAAGAUAGGGACCUUCGGGCCUGGCGUUAAUGGAGCGGCCGAUAUCUGAUUAGCUAGUUGGUGAGGUAAAGGCUCACCAAGGCGACGAUCAGUAGCUGGUCUGAGAGGACGACCAGCCACACUGGAACUGAGACACGGUCCAGACUCCUACGGGAGGCAGCAGUGGGGAAUUUUGGACAAUGGGCGCAAGCCUGAUCCAGCCAUUCCGCGUGAGUGAAGAAGGCCUUCGGGUUGUAAAUUUUUUUCGCAAGGGAAGAAAACUUAUCCUCUAACAUAGGAUGAGGUGACGGUC